This is an RNA transcript of Phragmites australis (common reed), 1487 nucleotides long. RefSeq lists it as uncharacterized. The record is from RefSeq and is a predicted model, not a curated record. The transcript is spliced from 8 exons. NCBI's taxonomy places the organism in Eukaryota, Viridiplantae, Streptophyta, Magnoliopsida, Poales, Poaceae.
UUGGACGGCUACGAUGAACCUCGCAAUCAUCGGAACACGCCGCGCCCCGCCAAGGGGCCAAAUCCAAGUCUGUACUCCCGCCCCCAAGGAGACCUCAAAGUUCUUCCCGCGCGGCCAUACCAAAUUCCCCUUCCACCGCCGGCGCCGCGUCCCGCCCCACCACCUCUUCCCCUUGCGCUGCCGCUGUCCCGACCACCGCACCCAUACCAUCCUCGACCGUUUCCUCGGCGGUCUCAGCGUCCUGCCGUGGCAGAUCUGGCCUCUCCUGUAGCGGCAUUCCGUCGAGCACGUAGCGCGCGGCUGCGGAAGGGCGUGUGGGACGAGGAGGAGGAUGUACGGGAGGCGCGCAUCGCAGCUUCUGAGGGAGAUUGACUCCUCCGAGGCAGGCCAGCUCGCGUCGUUCAACAGCGAUGUGUUUGAUCAGGUCAUUAGAGAGUGCAGUGAGCACAAUUCACAAUUUCAAUCAUUGAUCAGGAAAAUGGUGGAGCAAAACUUAGACAUCGAGACAACUAGAAACGAGGACCACUAUGGUGCAGCUAUCCACCAUCUUUCCCUGCUCCGUAACAAAAGAUGCCUCAUGGCUUACAUGUACAACCGAGCAGAAGUUAUUCAAAGUUUUAGGUGGAAAGUUGGUCCUGUUCUUCCUCAUGACAUACAAGAAAAGCUCCACUUCUCAGAGAAAGAGUACUUCAAGAACCACUCUGCAGCCAUUAAGUCAUACAUAUCGGAGAUGGAUAUAGAUUUAACAGUGGACAUGGUACCUCCCAAGGAUCCUUACAUUCAGGUUCGGGUGCUGGAGGACAUUGGUGAAGUAUCUCUUGGCGACCAUUCUGUAUCAUUGACCAAAAACUCGCUUCAUUUCCUAAGGCGCACAGACGCUGAACAAUUUAUAUCACAGGGUCUUAUGGAAGAAUUUCUGGAGUAGGGAUCACAUACGAUGUACGAUAGUUCUGCUGCGUGAUGGAAUAAGCACCCUUGCAAUGCUUGCAGAGAGAAAAUGUGCAGCAAUGAAAGAACAUAUGUCAUCAUCUUGGAUGCGGAGUUCUUUCAGAGUUCAGAUUCUGACUUAUUCUAGUCAGAGGCCACAACACAGGCUCGUUCCACCUUUGUAUCACAUCACAAGUGACAUUUCCAUCUUCACCAGGAAGCAAGACUAGUGCAGUACAUGCAGGAAAGUUUCUGCUUGCUGGAUUUAUGUAAAGGUGUACUGAACGUCAUUUAGUUAAGGUUGGUAUCUACUUUUAAUCACCACAAGUUUCUUAAGAUGCUUUUAUUACUGGGAAACACGCAAAUCGGCAAUUCAGCAUGGCCAUCUUUGCACUAACUGAAAUUUAGGUAAUUUUAGCUUGAAGAUUGCUAAAUUACCCGAGGUAAAAACCAUAGGACAUCGGUGAUGUAUGUAUCUUGCUUGUAGUAUCCACAAACUUUCAAAUUUGAAUUGCAUCAUUGCAUGACAGUUAUUGACGAUGCAGUUGUUUGAGAAUGCA